GGGGUUGUGGCUUGGUGGUAGAGUGCUUGCCUGUCCUGUGUGAGGCCCUGGGUUCAAUUCUCAGCACCUCA
This 71-nucleotide transfer RNA is filed under the name Marmota monax (woodchuck). RNAcentral describes it as "tRNA.Asp". The record is from RNAcentral. Lineage: Eukaryota; Metazoa; Chordata; Mammalia; Rodentia; Sciuridae.